RNAcentral lists this ribosomal RNA (415 nucleotides) under Russula sp. 307-468. RNAcentral's name for it is "eukaryotic LSU rRNA". The stretch from base 1 to 105 matches the Rfam family "5.8S ribosomal RNA", at positions 50 to 154 of the family's 154-position model. Lineage: Eukaryota; Fungi; Basidiomycota; Agaricomycetes; Russulales; Russulaceae. The record is from RNAcentral.
GAAAUGCGAUACGUAAUGUGAAUUGCAGAAUUCAGUGAAUCAUCGAAUCUUUGAACGCACCUUGCGCCCCUUGGCAUUCCGAGGGGCACACCCGUUUGAGUGUCGUGAAAUCAUCAAAACCCUUUUCUUUGAUCCUCUCUUGGUCAAGAAAGGUAUUUUUGGACUUGGAGGUUUUCAUGCUGGCUUUUAAAGCGAGCUCCUCUCAAAUGAAUUAGUGGGGUCCGCUUUGCUGAUCCUUGACGUGAUAAAGGUGUUUCUACGUUUUGGAUUUAGCACUGUCUCUUUGGACGCCUGCUUCUAACCGUCCCCUGGACGAUGAUGGUGCUCCGGUCAUCGCCAUCUAUGUUGGUGAGAGGCUGGACCCACAAGAAAAGACCUUGACCUCAAAUUGGGUGAGACUACCCGCUGAACUUAA